GAUGAACGCUGGCGGCGUGCCUAAUACAUGCAAGUCGAGCGAACAGACGAGGAGCUUGCUCCUCUGACGUUAGCGGCGGACGGGUGAGUAACACGUGGAUAACCUACCUAUAAGACUGGGAUAACUUCGGGAAACCGGAGCUAAUACCGGAUAAUAUAUUGAACCGCAUGGUUCAAUAGUGAAAGACGGUUUUGCUGUCACUUAUAGAUGGAACCGCGCCGCAUUAGCUAGUUGGUAAGGUAACGGCUUACCAAGGCAACGAUGCGUAGCCGACCUGAGAGGGUGAUCGGCCACACUGGAACUGAGACACGGUCCAGACUCCUACGGGAGGCAGCAGUAGGGAAUCUUCCGCAAUGGGCGAAAGCCUGACGGAGCAACGCCGCGUGAGUGAUGAAGGUCUUCGGAUCGUAAAACUCUGUUAUUAGGGAAGAACAAAUGUGUAAGUAACUAUGCACGUCUUGACGGUACCUAAUCAGAAAGCUACGGCUAACUACGUG
Molecule: ribosomal RNA, 497 nt
Filed under: uncultured bacterium
Lineage: Bacteria
Description: partial 16S ribosomal RNA
Rfam family: Bacterial small subunit ribosomal RNA
Source: RNAcentral